Molecule: ribosomal RNA, 468 nt
Filed under: uncultured bacterium
Lineage: Bacteria
Description: partial 16S ribosomal RNA
Rfam family: Bacterial small subunit ribosomal RNA
Source: RNAcentral
GACGAACGCUGGCGGCGUGCUUAACACAUGCAAGUCGAACGGAAAGGCCCUGCUUUUGUGGGGUGCUCGAGUGGCGAAGGGGUGAGAAACAUGAGAGUAACCUGCCCUGGACUUGGGGAUAACUUCAGGAAACUGGGGCUAAUACCGGCUAGGUGCUCCUGCUGCAGGGGGGGGGUCGGAAAGUUUCGGCGGUUGGGGAUGGACUCGCGGCUAAUCAGCUGGUUGGUGGGGUGGCGGCUAACCGGGCGUUCGACGGGUAGCCGGCCUGGGAGGGUGGCCGGGGACCAUGGGACUGCGGUACGGCCCAGACUCGUACGGGAGACAGCAGUGGGGAGUAUUGUACAGUCGUCGGAAGCCUGAUGCAACAACGCCGCGUGCGGGAUGACGGCCUUCGGGUUGUAAACCGCUUUCGGUUGUGACGAUGCGUGAGUGACGGUACUGGGUAAAGAAGCACCGGCUAACUACGUG